This 1001-nucleotide ribosomal RNA is filed under the name uncultured bacterium. Its description in RNAcentral is "bacterial SSU rRNA". It matches the Rfam family "Bacterial small subunit ribosomal RNA", at positions 356 to 1376 of the family's 1533-position model. The record is from RNAcentral.
GGGGGAUAUUGCACAAUGGGGGAAACCCUGAUGCAGCGACGCCGCGUGGAGGAAGAAGGUUUUCGGAUUGUAAACUCCUGUCGUUAGGGACGAUAAUGACGGUACCUAACAAGAAAGCACCGGCUAACUACGUGCCAGCAGCCGCGGUAAUACGUAGGUGGCGAGCGUUAUCCGGAAUUAUUGGGCGUAAAGAGGGAGCAGGCGGCACUAAGGGUCUGUGGUGAAAGAUCGAAGCUUAACUUCGGUAAGCCAUGGAAACCGUAGAGCUAGAGUGUGUGAGAGGAUCGUGGAAUUCCAUGUGUAGCGGUGAAAUGCGUAGAUAUUAGGAGGAACACCAGUGGCGAAGGCGGCUUACUGGACGGCAACUGACGUUGAGGCUCGAAAGCAUGGGUAGCAAACAGGAUUAGAUACCCUGGUAGUCCAUGCCGUAAACGAUGAUUACUAGGUGUUGGGGGAUUGACCCCCUCAGUGCCGCAGUUAACACAAUAAGCAUUCCGCCUGGGGAGUACGGCCGCAAGGUUGAAACUCAAAGGAAUUGACGGGGGCCCGCACAAGCAGCGGAGCAUGUGGUUUAAUUCGACGCAACGCGAAGAACCUUACCAGGUCUUGACAUCCACUUAAACUUACAGAGAUGUAAGGUGUGCUUGCACAAAGUGAGACAGGUGGUGCAUGGUUGUCGUCAGCUCGUGUCGUGAGAUGUUGGGUUAAGUCCCGCAACGAGCGCAACCCUUAUCUUCAGUUACUAACGCGUAAAGGUGAGGACUCUGAAGAGACUGCCGGGGACAACUCGGAGGAAGGUGGGGACGACGUCAAAUCAUCAUGCCCCUUAUGACCUGGGCUACACACGUGCUACAAUGGCCACGACAGAGAGAAGCGAAAUCGCAAGGUAGAGCGGAACUCAAAAAAGUGGUCCCAGUUCGGAUUGUGGGCUGCAACCCGCCCACAUGAAGUCGGAGUUGCUAGUAAUCGCGGAUCAGCAUGCCGCGGUGAAUACGUUCCCG